ACUCUUUGGCAGUUGCGCUGGGUACUGGCUGAGUUCUGGAAAACAGGAAUGUGAGCAGAGUGCUGCAGAUCUCCUUGUCAGGAGCACCUAAGAACUGGCAUGACUCUACACCCUCUCUCCUUCUGCAAUGGUCUCGUGUCAAGAUGGCAGACCUGCAGAGAUGAAUGUGCCUGGAUACCUGAGUCACCAGGUGGAGGAAACUCCCAUUGACCUGCAUCACACUCCACGUAUGAAACCCUUCUUUUUCUGCACUGUCACUGAGGUUAGGGAUUAUUACUCACUGCAACUUAGCCUAGCAUUAAUUUGCUUGACUAAUACAAGUUUCAAUAAAUGUUGCUCCAUUUCCCAUG
Molecule: long non-coding RNA, 350 nt
Filed under: Pongo abelii (Sumatran orangutan)
Lineage: Eukaryota; Metazoa; Chordata; Mammalia; Primates; Hominidae
Description: lincRNA
Source: RNAcentral